Molecule: long non-coding RNA, 2951 nt
Filed under: Homo sapiens (human)
Lineage: Eukaryota; Metazoa; Chordata; Mammalia; Primates; Hominidae
Description: HSALNT0375271
Source: RNAcentral
GACGAAGGCCACUCAGAUGAACAGAUGUAGGGAGGGAGUUCCAGGGGCAAGACGCUGCUGGGGACACCAUGGGCUGAGUCCCACCUUCCCUGCAGGAUACCCCCGCCCCUUGCCCACCAAGCCUGUGGGCACAGGUGCUUGAGUCCUGUCCCUCCCUUCCUUUGUGUCCCGGUCCUUCCUGGGACACCCCUCUCUGCCAGCCAGCACUGGGUGCAGCAGAGAACAAAACCAAAUCCCUUCCCUCCUGGGGAGAGGACAGAGUGACGUAGCUGCCUCGGACCAGGCCCGGGCCGUGGGGAGAAGGCAAACUCAGGGCGUGGGCCAGGCUGGAUCAGGGCAGGGGUUGCCCCUUGCCACAGGGUGGGCAGGCGGCCUCCAGGGAGGAAGGUGUGUCUGGGGCUGACGAGGGAGCAUGCAGAGGUCCUGGGGGGAGGCUGGUGUGGCGACUUGAGAGACACAAGGAGCCGAGAUGCCGCAGGAGGGCAGGGCAUGAAACCACAUGGGUCAUGGUGAGGAUGGUGGCCUUUAUUCUGAGCAAAGUAGGGAGUUACUAGCAGAUUUUGUGCGAGAAAUGGAAUCAUUUUCACAGCAUCACUCUGCUGUGCUGGAAACGGCUGUCGGGAGGUUUGUGAGCAGGAAGGACGGGAUACUCAUGAGGAAGAAGGCAGGCAACUGCCGGAGGGGGCUGCUACUUUUCAUGGUUUGAGUUGAAGGAGUGGGCCUUGCAUAAUGGUGCGCACCUGUAAUCCCAGAAUCUUGGUAGGGCAAGGCGGGAGGAUCGCUUGAGACUGGGAGGUCAAGGUUGCGGUGAGCUGUGAUUGCACCACUGCACCCCAGCCAGGGCAACAGAGGGAGACACUGUGUCAAUCAACUAAUCAAUUAAUAAGAGUGGCGGACGGCUUGGAUGUGGAGAGCAAGAGAAGAAAAAGUCAAUGGAGUGGAAUUGCCGGGUCACACGCUGGGAAGAACCCAAUGUUUGUGUCCUCCCAAAAUGCACAAGUCAAAAUCCCAACCCUCAAGAUGAUGGGAUUAGGAGGCGAGGCCUUGGAAGGACCCAGUGAGAAGGCGCCGGAUAUGAGCCAGGAAGGGGACUUCGGAGGACAGCAAAUCUGCCACACCUCCAUCUAGAACUUCCAGCCCCCAGAAGUGUGAGCAAAAAGUGUCCGCUGUUUAUAAGCCACCCAGGCUGUGGCAUUUUUGUUACAGUCCAGAUGGGCUAUGACAUACAGGAAUUCUGUUUCACCCUCUGAGGACCUGCCAGGCUAUUUUACAAAGUGGCUGCACCAUUUCACGUUCCCACCAGCAUUGCGUGCAGGCUCCCAGGCAGAGACACUGCUUCUCUCUCCUGGGAACUGUCACCUACAGCAGGCACCAACCUGGGCAGCAGUCGGCUGGAGAACCACGUCAUCAAUGAGCUUCCGGGGAAGGAGUGGAGACAGAUGAGCCUGCAGUGUGGUCAUUGCCAGGACUGAGCCAGCACCGGGAAGCUGCGGGAGCCACUGGCUGGGGGCGGCAGGGACUGCCCCAGACUCACAGGGAGAGGGGUGUUCACCAAGGGCUUCUAGGGAGAGGCCACGCCGUGGAAGAGUGAAACCCAGCAGGCCACAGGACGGAGCAGCCAGCAUGGACUCAGCUCUGUCUAUAUGGGUCCUGAGUCCCGUUCCCACGUGAUAACCAGUGACUACACUGACAGACACAAUUUUAGCUAAGAGCAAGAUGUUUGCAGGGGUAGACUGUGCAGUCUUCCCAUGGGAAUGUGUGGAGCUGCCGUGGGGUUCUUUGGAAAUAGGACAAGUGCCACGGGGACCCGUUACCUCUGAGGACCCCUAACUAUGAAGCUAUUAACCCUGUAACGGACUUGGCUAACAACUUGAGCAAAGCACUCAGACCUGACUCCCAGCAGAGCAGCUCAGCCAGGCUGAGAGCAGGGGAUUCGGGGGGCUCCUAGACAGGGGUGUGAGUCCAGUUUCCCCAUCACCACAGGCUGAACUGUGUUUCCUCAAAAAAGAGAUGUUGAAGUCCUAACCCCUAGGACCUAAGGAUGAGGGCUUAUUUGGAAAUAGGGUCUUUGCCGAUGUAAUCGAGCUGAGGUUGUAAGCGUGGCCCUGUCCAAUAGGACCGGUGUCCUAUUAAGAUGAGAAGAGAGAGACACCGGGAGGGUGUCAAGUGCAGGCGCAGAGGCCCGGGGAGGGGACGGACGGCUGUGCAGCAACAGAGGUGAAGAAGGAGCAAGGCGCCUGCGAGCCCCGGAACACGGAGGACUGCCAGCAGCCCUGGGGUGGGAGGGGCAGGAGGGCCCUCCCCAGAACCCUCGGCCCACGUCCUGACUUCAGAUUGUGGCCGCAGAGCCAGCGAGAAGAAAGCUCUGCUGUUGGCGCCAUGUCGGUGCUGCUGUGUGAAAGCAGCCGCAGGAAGCAAACACGCCCGUGUUGAUGACUUCGCUGGGACAAUAAACCGAGCAAAGAUACUUCCAAAUCUUCAACACCUGUCCAGUAUUCCCAUUAGAAAGCAACCCCAAAUAAAACAACACGAAGGCCGGAGGAGCACGCCAGGUCUGUCACACUGUAGACUGGAGGUGGGCCUGGGGACACACCAGAGCCUGUGGCCCCCACCCUGAGCACCAGGGCACCAGAGGGCAACGCCAUCUCAGGCCUGGCUUUCCUGCAUUCCCUACAUGCUGCUGCCAACCACACAAGACAGCUGAUUCCAUUUACACCCAAAUCCUUCGCCACAGCAUGGGGUGACAGCAGGCCACCAACUUCACAGGCAGACCCUCACCCCUACGGCCUCAGAGUGGACGGCUCCCGGGAUGAUUCCUCACUCCGUGAAGCUGUUGGCGGAGAAUGUUACACGGCAGCAUCACCACCCACAGGCCUCCUCCCAGCUACUAGAUGCCAGCCACCUUUCUUUACGAAUAAAAUACGUUAAUUAAAUAUUGCAUCUAAAUAAGU